GAUGAACGCUGGCGGCGUGCCUAAUACAUGCAAGUCGAGCGAACAGACGAGGAGCUUGCUCCUCUGACGUUAGCGGCGGACGGGUGAGUAACACGUGGAUAACCUACCUAUAAGACUGGGAUAACUUCGGGAAACCGGAGCUAAUACCGGAUAACAUGUUGAACCGCAUGGUUCAACAGUGAAAGACGGUCUUGCUGUCACUUAUAGAUGGAUCCGCGCCGCAUUAGCUAGUUGGUAAGGUAACGGCUUACCAAGGCAACGAUGCGUAGCCGACCUGAGAGGGUGAUCGGCCACACUGGAACUGAGACACGGUCCAGACUCCUACGGGAGGCAGCAGUAGGGAAUCUUCCGCAAUGGGCGAAAGCCUGACGGAGCAACGCCGCGUGAGUGUAGAAGGUCUUCGGAUCGUAAAACUCUGUUAUUAGGGAAGAACAAAUGUGUAAGUAACUAUGCACGUCUUGACGGUACCUAAUCAGAAAGCCACGGCUAACUACGUG
This 497-nucleotide ribosomal RNA is filed under the name uncultured bacterium. Its description in RNAcentral is "partial 16S ribosomal RNA". It matches the Rfam family "Bacterial small subunit ribosomal RNA", at positions 28 to 507 of the family's 1533-position model. The record is from RNAcentral.